Molecule: transfer RNA, 87 nt
Filed under: Thalassotalea euphylliae
Lineage: Bacteria; Pseudomonadati; Pseudomonadota; Gammaproteobacteria; Alteromonadales; Colwelliaceae
Also listed under: 1 other name
Description: tRNA-Leu
Rfam family: tRNA
About the family: Transfer RNA (tRNA) molecules are approximately 80 nucleotides in length. Their secondary structure includes four short double-helical elements and three loops (D, anti-codon, and T loops).
Source: RNAcentral
GCCCGGGUGGUGGAAUUGGUAGACACAAGGGAUUUAAAAUCCCUCGCUUGUAAGAGCGUGCCGGUUCAAGUCCGGCCCUGGGUACCA